This is a long non-coding RNA of Pecten maximus, 1990 nucleotides long. RefSeq lists it as uncharacterized. The transcript has 5 exons. Lineage: Eukaryota; Metazoa; Mollusca; Bivalvia; Pectinida; Pectinidae. The record is from RefSeq and is a predicted model, not a curated record.
AAAGAGCGCCAACAGAUAGACGAUCUGCGGAUUCUUAAAAUUAAAGUUAUUACCGUUCAUUAAUUUCCGACCACUGAAUGCGAAUUGAAUUUUAAAGACUACAGUUACAGGUGAGAUUAGACACAAUUCAAUAGAAGUUUUAUUGUUGAAUCAAUAUUGUAAGCUGUCGGCAGUCUACCUCCAGAGUCAAUGUUGGUACAUGAGGCUCGACAUGUCGAAGGAACAUCCUGAUCAGGAUUCAGAAUAUGGUGGGAACUGUUGCCGAAGUUCAAGGAUGUAUCAACAAAGACAGAAUUUCCUUUGCAAAUGCACAAGGGUACAUACCACAGCCACCAGCUUUUCAUCUUGUCACACCGAACUACCAUUCGAAUAUAUCUACUAUUUACUGAAACACUUGAGGAUCUUCAGCAUCAGUCAUCGCCUUCUUGCACCAAAUCAUCCAUAAAUCAUGGAAUCACAAGUUGACAACAUGGGCACUCUUAUAACUUGUGCACUACCUCAAAAUUACCUGAUCCAAAGCAAGAACAGGAAAAGAACAAAAUUCGCAGAAGACGAUAAUUUCACAGCAGACAAUAAUAUAUUGUGUUUGUGUAUCAGGAUUUAGAUACACUAUUACCUGUCUGCUCCACCAACGAAACAGACACGACCAGGUUUCUUGUAAACAAAAACUAAAAAUAAACAUGAAAGGAAUGGUGAUCAGGACUUCAUUACUGACAACAUAAACAUUCUGAAACUAUCGGGAAAUUGUAUCAUCACAGACUGGUUUUAAUGAAUAUAUAAGAGCAUGAAAAACUUUGCAAAAACAUCACAAAGGUAAUUAUAUAAUUGGAUAGAAUAACCGAAGAUUAUACAUGUAUGUCAGUUUGUAACAAGAGAAGGUGCAGUGGCGGCCAUGUACCUAAUUCAAACCUGGACGCACAAGAGGAUCUUCAACAAGAACCGCCUUUUCAUUUUGUCACAUCACAUCACCGUUCUGAUAUCUCCAUCUCUGAAAAAGUCAAUCAUCCAGGCACAGUUUCUGAUUUAGAGAAAUACUAAGUGUACAGAUUAAAAGACAAUGACUUGGGUUUUUUUUUUAUGUGCCAAAAUUGUAAAAUGUUUUUUGCCCAAAAUGCUGAAUUUUAACACACAAAUCACAUAAAGACAGCUUUGUUGAACUUUCCAAAAUUUUGAAACACAAAACCAAAACGUUAUUCAGAAUUUCGUUGAUGGAACAGACAAUGUUAAUAUUCCAAAAUAGAACCAGGAAAUUUUUAUUUUAUUCCGAACAAAAUUGUCUACGUGUAUACCCCUGAAAUGUCUUCAUAUGAACCACGGUACGAAAACCUUUGCAAAACAAUUAUUGACAAUAAUAAUCAAAGUAGGUUACAAUUAGAUGAAGUUACCAUGGAUUAUAAAAUUAUAUCAAUUUGUGACAAGAUGUAGGUGGCGAUGAUGGACCUCGUGCAUUUACUCAUUAUAAACCUGGAGGAGAGGUUGGAUACUUUGAAGAAACUCGCAUCAGAAAACAGACACCCCCUGGACAAGAACUACGACUGUAUAGAAAAUCAAGGAAAUAGAUUCCGACAUCCAACCGACACCUAACAAAGUCAUGACAGAGUUUACUCCGGGUAUGGACAGACAAAAUCACAAGAAGCAGGCCAUUGGGGAUAUGAAGUUUCCUACUGACCAUCUCCAGGUAGGAUCAGAAAAAGGUGGUCACUCCUACCGAUGUCCAAUAGUCCAACCAAAAACACAGACUACUGUCAGAGACUGGUCAAGCAUCAACUUCUGCACCAUAGCAGCACGAUUCAGGCUCUCUAGAGAGUUGUACUUUAUACAUGUGCUAUUAAGGAUGAUUCAUUCAAGAUGAGCGUCUGGUCACUGUCUCGUACAAAUUUCUCCAUAGGAUACCUGCGUGGUCGAGUGAAACUUAGAAUCUGGACAGCAAUGACUCAUUGCACUCAGCGAUACCACAUUCCACAUUCAAAUAUAAACUCUUACAGGUAUA